Molecule: ribosomal RNA, 429 nt
Filed under: Gemmatimonadota bacterium
Lineage: Bacteria; Pseudomonadati; Gemmatimonadota
Description: Gemmatimonadetes bacterium partial 16S ribosomal RNA
Rfam family: Bacterial small subunit ribosomal RNA
Source: RNAcentral
UAGGGAAUCUUCGGCAAUGGACGAAAGUCUGACCGAGCAACGCCGCGUGAGUGAAGAAGGUUUUCGGAUCGUAAAACUCUGUUGUUAGAGAAGAACAAGGACGUUAGUAACUGAACGUCCCCUGACGGUAUCUAACCAGAAAGCAACGGCUAACUACGUGCAAGCAGCCGCGGUAAUACGUAGGUGGCAAGCGUUGUCCGGAUUUAUUGGGCGUAAAGCGAGCGCAGGCGGUUUCUUAAGGCUGAUGUGAAAGCCCCCGGCUCAACCGGGGAGGGUCAUUGGAAACUGGGGGACUUGAGUGCAGAAGAGGUGAGUGGAAUUCCAUGUGUAGAGGUGAAAUGCGUAGAUAUAUGGAGGAACACCAGUGGCGAAGGCGGCUCUCUGGUAUGUAACUGACGCUGAGGCUCGAAAGCGUGGGGAGCAAACAGG